RNAcentral lists this transfer RNA (67 nucleotides) under Proechimys guyannensis (Guyenne spiny-rat). RNAcentral's name for it is "tRNA-Pro". The record is from RNAcentral. Lineage: Eukaryota; Metazoa; Chordata; Mammalia; Rodentia; Echimyidae.
CAAGAAAUAGUUUAAUUAGAAUAUCAGUUUUGGGUACUGAUGGUGUGGUUGUUUACUUCUUUCUUGA